CGGGGCGGCGUGCUUACCAUGCAGUCGACGGUGAAGAGGAGCUUGCUCCUUGGAUCAGUGGCGAACGGGUGAGUAACACGUGAGCAAUCUGCCCUUGACUCUGGGAUAACUGCGGGAAACUGUAGCUAAUACCGGAUAUUACCUUGGAAGGCAUCUUCUGGGGUGGAAAGAAUUUUGGUCAAGGAUGAGCUCGCGGCCUAUCAGCUAGUUGGUGAGGUAAUGGCUCACCAAGGCGACGACGGGUAGCCGGCCUGAGAGGGUGACCGGCCACACUGGGACUGAGACACGGCCCAGACUCCUACGGGAGGCAGCAGUGGGGAAUAUUGCACAAUGGGCGCAAGCCUGAUGCAGCAACGCCGCGUGAGGGACGACGGCCUUCGGGUUGUAAACCUCUUUUAGUAGGGAAGAAGCGACUGGGUUUUCCUGGGAGUGACGGUACCUGCAGAAAAAGCACCGGCUAACUACGUGCCAGCAGCCGCGGUAAUACGUAGGGUGCAAGCGUUGUCCGGAAUUAUUGGGCGUAAAGAGCUCGUAGGCGGUUUGUCGCGUCUGCUGUGAAAACCCGAGGCUCAACCUCGGGCCUGCAGUGGGUACGGGCAGACUAGAGUGCGGUAGGGGAGAUUGGAAUUCCUGGUGUAGCGGUGGAAUGCGCAGAUAUCAGGAGGAACACCAAUGGCGAAGGCAGAUCUCUGGGCCGUAACUGACGCUGAGGAGCGAAAGCAUGGGGAGCGAACAGGAUUAGAUACCCUGGUAGUCCAUGCCGUAAACGUUGGGAACUAGAUGUGGGGACCAUUCCACGGUCUCCGUGUCGCAGCUACCGCAUUAAGUUCCCCGCCUGGGGAGUACGGCCGCAAGGCUAAAACUCAAAGGAAUUGACGG
Molecule: ribosomal RNA, 879 nt
Filed under: uncultured bacterium
Lineage: Bacteria
Description: bacterial SSU rRNA
Rfam family: Bacterial small subunit ribosomal RNA
Source: RNAcentral